This 252-nucleotide long non-coding RNA is filed under the name Phaseolus vulgaris (common bean). RNAcentral's name for it is "long non-coding RNA (PVUL_LNC005063)". The record is from RNAcentral. Lineage: Eukaryota; Viridiplantae; Streptophyta; Magnoliopsida; Fabales; Fabaceae.
GCGGCGUUUUGAGGGUCUCUUGAAUUACAGUCCUCUGCCUUCCCCCUUUGCCUGAGUUGGCCAGCCUGGCGAGCAGGUCAGCUCUGGCAUUUUGCUCCCUGGGGACGUGGACUAGCUCAAACGCAGCGAAGGCUCUCUUCAACAUCUCGACGUACCUCAAGUACGCGACCAUUUGUGGAUCCUUCGCUUGAUAUUCUCCCGUUACUUGACCUGUGACCAGCUGUGAGUCACUCUUUGCCAAGAGGUUCUGAG